GAUGAACGCUAGCGGCAGGCCUAACACAUGCAAGUCGAGGGGCAGCACGUCUUCGGAUGGUGGCGACCGGCGCACGGGUGCGUAACGCGUAUGCAACCUACCUCUUACAGUGGGAUAGCCCAGAGAAAUUUGGAUUAAUACCGCAUAGUAUACAGAUUCAGCAUUGGGACUGUAUUAAACAUUUAUGGGUAAGAGAUGGGCAUGCGUUCUAUUAGUUAGUUGGAGUGGUAACGGCACCCCAAGACAGCGAUAGAUAGGGGCCCUGAGAGGGGGAUCCCCCACACUGGUACUGAGACACGGACCAGACUCCUACGGGAGGCAGCAGUGAGGAAUAUUGGACAAUGGGCAGAGCCUGAUCCAGCCAUGCCGCGUGCAGGAAGACGGCCCUA
Molecule: ribosomal RNA, 389 nt
Filed under: uncultured bacterium
Lineage: Bacteria
Description: bacterial SSU rRNA
Rfam family: Bacterial small subunit ribosomal RNA
Source: RNAcentral